Long non-coding RNA from Mastomys coucha (southern multimammate mouse), 313 nucleotides. RefSeq lists it as uncharacterized. NCBI's taxonomy places the organism in Eukaryota, Metazoa, Chordata, Mammalia, Rodentia, Muridae. The record is from RefSeq and is a predicted model, not a curated record. The transcript is spliced from 4 exons.
GCUGCGGGACGGCAUCCUACACUUCCUAUUGGUGCUAUAAGAGUUGGAUCUUUUGACAUCAGGACUGUUUAUACAAUUAAAGAUCUUGAGAGAGAAGAAAUGACCAAGAAGGCAUCUGCUGAGACAAGACAGCGUGCUUCGUAAAUCGGGGCCAGAGUGUUCGAAAAGGCACAGAGUCUCUGAUUGAAAGACCCAUCCCUAUCCCAAACGAGCACCAGCUAUCGCAAAGUCUUUCCGAUUAGUUCAACUCUGAAGAAAAGAUGGUUCAUAUCCACCUCUACUGAACCAUGACAGAAUAAAAGUAAAAUUGUAA